Long non-coding RNA from Elgaria multicarinata webbii, 656 nucleotides. RefSeq lists it as uncharacterized. Lineage: Eukaryota; Metazoa; Chordata; Lepidosauria; Squamata; Anguidae. The record is from RefSeq and is a predicted model, not a curated record. The transcript is spliced from 2 exons.
AAAAAUGCAGGAUAUAAAUGUAACAAAUAUAUAAAUUAGUCUAUCAUCUAUGUAUCAAUCAAUCAAAACACAAAUGAAACCAUUUUUCACAAUGAGUUCUGAAUCCUGCAUUCUUCUUAUUUCCCCCCGAACAGAACAGAGAGGUUCCUGUAAUGUCCCUAUACGGGUGAGAAAAGAUUGUGGACAUCCAGGAAUAUCUAUAGGAGAUUGUCACAAAAGGGGAUGUUGUUUUAAAAGGGGCCCCCCUCAUUCCAAAUGGUGCUUCUUUCGUAGAUGAGAAGAAUGAAAUGAAAGCAGGAAUCUGGAACCUCCAUAAAGUGAAUCUUAGAAAAGAGAAAAGACACUGGCAUAGCAGAUGAUUUAAACAUUUCCCGCUCCCCAACCCCCACUUGCUUGCUUUUUCUUCUUUUUGCAGCUUUUCUUACAAGAGAUGAGACAAAAUAUCUCCCCCUGAACAUGACUCCCAUAAAUCUCAAUACUCCACACUCCAGAAUCUUGUCCUUCAACAAGAAAUCUAAACUUACCUGACAGUCUCGGCUACAUUUUAAACCUUUGCUGUUACUUUUUAGAAAUUAGAAAUAUAAUUCCUUUCCCUCUGCCUGAAUUAUCCUUAUGAAACUACUUGGUGCAUUAAAGCUAUUGAAGCAUUUCUGAAA